This 692-nucleotide long non-coding RNA is filed under the name Carica papaya (papaya). Its description in RNAcentral is "long non-coding RNA (CPAP_LNC011327)". The record is from RNAcentral. Lineage: Eukaryota; Viridiplantae; Streptophyta; Magnoliopsida; Brassicales; Caricaceae.
AAUACGUGCUCGACAGACUAUACUAGUGGUCAAGUCCUUAUUGGUCGGGGUAAAGACUACUAACACAUAAUCUAAAGGUAAUUGUUCAAUGUUCAGAUGCUAAGCAAACUCAUGUUAUGCAAAAAAGUGUGUAGAUCCUGGGUCUAUUAAAACUUUAGUCAAGGUAUUAGAGAGUUGGAUUACAUACUGAAAGGAUUGAACAUCUCACUCUGUAAUGGCAUUUACUCUUUCUUGAGUUGUUUUUCUGGUCUGCUCUUUGUUGAUAAGACACUCUUUGAUCCGAUGUUGAGUACUACCACAUCUGAAACAUCCAUUUGUCAACUUGUAACAGGGUCUGUUACCAUGGUUCUUUCUACAAUGAGGGCAUAUUUACUCUAGCUUUUGUGCUAGGACUAUGAGAUAUGUCUUCUGCCUUUUAUCGAGUUAUUAUGGCUCAUAAACCUUCUUUUUAUUGUUUGGUAUGAAUGGUCAAACCUGCUAGAUCUGUUGUGAGACUGGACUUGUAGCCUCUUCUGUAAUCUGGGCUCGUUCCAGUGCUUCUUGAUAGUCAUUAAUUUUCGGAACGAAGAUUUUAUCCCAUAUCUCUUUAUGCAGACCUCUUUGAAACUUCUUGGCCGUUCAGCUUCCAUAUGCUACUAAGUUGGGCACGAACCGAGCUAGCUGUGUAAAUUUUUCUACAUAUUCUGCCACCU